GCCCUUAGAGUUUGAUCCUGGCUCAGAGCGAACGCUGGCGGCGCGCUUAAGACAUGCAAGUCGAACGAGGCGGGGAGCUUGCUCCCCAGCCGAGUGGCAAACGGGUGAGUAACACGUGGAAACCUCCCCUUGGGUGCGGAACAACCACCGGAAACGGUGGCUAAUGCCGCAUAAUAUCGAGAGACCAAAGAUUUAUCGCCCAAGGAAGGGUCCGCGUCAGAUUAGCUAGUUGGUGGGGUAAUGGCCUACCAAGGCGACGAUCUGUAGCUGGUCUGAGAGGAUGAUCAGCCACAUUGGCACUGCGACACGGGCCAAACUCCUACGGGAGGCAGCAGUUUGGAAUCAUAGGCAAUGGGCGAAAGCCUGACCUUGCGACGCCGCGUGAGUGAUGAAGGCCUUCGGGUUGUAAAGCUCUUUUGGCAGGGACGAUGAUGACGGUACCUGCGGAAUAAGCUCCGGCAAACUUCGUGCCAGCAGCCGCGGUAAUACGAAGGGAGCUAGCGUUGCUCGGAUUUACUGGGCGUAAAGCGCGUGUAGGCGGUUUGAUAAGUUAGGCGUGAAAGCCCAGGGCUUAACCCUGGAAUUGCGCUUAAUACUGUCAAGCUAGAGUAUGGUAGAGGGUGGUGGAAUUCCCAGUGUAGAGGUGAAAUUCGUAGAUAUUGGGAGGAACACCGAUGGCGAAAGCAGCCACCUGGGCCAUAACUGACGCUAAGACGCGAAAGCGUGGGGAUCAAACAGGAUUAGAUACCCUGGUAGUCCACGCCUUAAACGAUGAGUGCCAGACGUUGGGGCAACAGUCUCAGUGUCGCAGCUAACGCGAUAAGCACUCCGCCUGGGGAGUACGGCCGCAAGGUUAAAACUCAAAGGAAUUGACGGGGACCCGCACAAGCGGUGGAGCAUGUUGUUUAAUUCGAUGCUGACCGAAGAACCUUACCAACUUUUGACAUGCAGAUUUUAGCUGCUCGGAGACAAGCGGCGUCGGUUCGGCCGGGGUCUGCACAGGUGAUGCAUGGCUGUCGUCAGCUCGUGUCGGGAGAUGUUGGGUUAAGUCCCGCAACGAGCGCAACCCCUACCGUUAGUUGUUACCAGGUAAUGCUGGGCACUCUAAUGGAACUGCCGGCGAUAAGCCGGAGGAAGGAGGGGAUGAUGUCAAGUCAUCAUGUUCCUUACAAGUUGGGCUACAAACGUGCUACAAUGGCGGCGACAAUGGGAAGCGAAGACGCAAGUCUGGGCAAAUCUCAAAAAACCGCCUCAGUUCAGAUUGCACUCUGCAACUCGAGUGCAUUAAGUUGGAAUCGCUAGUAAUCGCGGAUCAGCAUGCCGCGGUGAAUACGUUCUCGGGUCUUGUACACACCGCCCGUCAAGUCAUGGAAGUUGAUUUUACCUGAAGACAGUACGCUAACCGCAAGGGGGCAGCUGGCUACGGUAGGGUCAAUGACUGGGACUAAGUCGUAACAAGGUAACCAAGGG
This 1470-nucleotide ribosomal RNA is filed under the name uncultured bacterium. RNAcentral describes it as "bacterial SSU rRNA". It matches the Rfam family "Bacterial small subunit ribosomal RNA". The record is from RNAcentral.